CAAACCACUCCCUCUGGCAAAAUGCCAGGCGCCAUCUUGACUUGUUUACAGACUCUAACACUUUUUUGUUCCUGAUUCUCCCUUUGCAACUAAACAACCAACGACAAGAAGGAAGAAGGCAACCAGUGAAACCCUCCCAUCAUAAAGACCCCCUUCAUGGCGCAUUCUCAGCAGGAAACAGCUUGGAGAUUUCAUGGCCCACUUUUCCAUAGAAAAAGGUAGAAAUCGACGGGGGGGAAUAUAACCAUGGUCCCCUUCACCUUCUCAUGGUAGCCCUCAUUGCUCUGAGGCUUAGUUUUUAAAAGAAUGUGUUUUUUCUCUGUUCUCCCCUGUCCCCUCCCUAGCAAGUUUAGGGACACAGUGUUAAUGUUCUCCCCUAGUUAAUUUCCCUCAACACACCCACUACAGGAAGGAGCUGCCUGCUGAGGAUCUGGGAAGUGAGUAUCUCCCCAAUCAAUAAGUGAAUCCUAACACACCAUCCGGCAUUCUGGGACCCCCUACCAGAGCCCACCUGGAAUGUUACCCUUGAAGAGUUCCUCUAACCCCCCCAUGUCCCUCCUGAUGGCGAGAAUCACAGCCUCUGGGACAGGAGUCCCCUGUGUUUCUCCUUUGCUAGCAAAGCAAGAAACCUUCUUUUUUUCCUUUUUCUCAAAAUCCUGUCCUUGUUUUUGGAUUGGCAUCGGGGACAAAGACCAAGCUUUCAGUUACAUCACUACAAAAAUCAUUAUUAGAAAGCGAUAAACUGGGCAGGUGGUGCACACCUGUAAUCCCACAGGCUCCGGCGGCUGAGGCAGGAGAAGGGCAAAUUCAAAGCCAGCCUCAGCAGCUUCGCAAGGCUCUAAGCAACUAAGUGAGACCCUGUUUCAAAAUUUAAAAAAGGGGAGGGGGAGCUACGGAUGCAGCUCAGUGGUUAAGCACCCGGUUUAAUCCCCAGGACGAGAGGAAGGAAGGAAGGAAGGGAGGGAGGGAGGGAGGGAGGGAGGGACGGAGGGAGGGAGGGAAGGAAGGAGAAGAAGAGAAAUACAAACUAAAGCGAAGCAAGCGAGGAGAUUCCCCGGAGGAUGCAGCCCCCGUAGGCCCACAAAGACCAGCUGUAGACCCGAGCCCCCACCCCCACCCCGCGCAGGCAGUGCCUGAGCUCAGGUCCCCGCUGCCAGUUCCCACAAGCCCCGCUUUCCCAGAAGGAGCCAGCAGGCCUCUGGGCCCUGGGCCAUCUGGGCACCUGCGGUGUCUGCCCCUGCACGCCUGCCCACCGCUGGCCAGCACACCUGGGAGUGCCUGGGGCCUUCCCAGGCCUGGAAGGAGCAGAUAAGGUGUGACAGUGCCUGGCUGUUCUUAGGGAGAGGGGUUUUCCGAUGAGAACGGCCCUCCCCCUUCUCUCCCAUCCCCUCUGCACCAGCCUGGAGCCUGGAGGGGUGUCCCCGCCACACACACACUGCACAGCGGGCUACGGCUGAGAACCAGGGAGGAAGAGGCUAGCCAAGGCCAGGGGCCAAGGUGGGAAAUCUCUUUGACUCCUCCCCAGGCUGCCAUGGCCCCGAGUUCAAUCCCAGCUCCACUGUUCCCACACAGUGUGCCCAUCACCACCCUCACCACCCCCACUUUUAAUUGAGGUGUGAUUCACAUACCUAACAUUCACCUUUUCAAGUAUAGUUUAAAUAUAUUCACUUAACUUCCUGAUUUGAGGACAUUGUCAUCACUCGGGAAAGACGCUCUAUACCCAGUGUCCGUCACGUCCUGCCUGCUGCCCGCCCCCAGCCCUGGGCAGCCCCUGCCUUUCCUAGGCUUGCCCAUUCUGGAGAUUUCAUACAAAUUAAAUCAAAUAAUAUGUGGCCUUUCGUGGGUUGGUUUUGUUGUUUGUUUUGUUUUGUUUUUGAGGUACUAUUACCGAAAACCUUGUCCUUGUCCCCAGUGCCAAUCCAAUCACAAGCCCAUGGUUUUGAGAAAAAGGAAACAAGAAGAUUUAUUGCUUUGCUAGCAAAGGAGAAACACAGGGGACUCCUGACCCAAAGACUGUGACUCUGCCCUUCAGCAGGAACAGAGGGCUUUUAAAGAUUCAAAGACUAUGUUCCACCCAUCCUCCGCUGGAGUUGUGAUUCUAUUGUUAAUUAAUCAGAGAGAGUCAUUUCUGAGGUCUUCGUGCCAUCCCCAAAAGUCUGGAUCACUUUGUUCCUGUGGUGGGUGUGUGCUCAAGGACAGAGAAAUCUGCCCAGGAGGGGAAAAAGGUGAUCCUGUUUCCUCUGAGAUCAGGGAUGGGGAGAGACAGGGGAAGAGAAAGAACCACGUUGUGAGGAUGGCCUUGGACCUGUGCCUAGCAACUCCAUUUUAAAACUCCAGUUUGAAACCUGCAGUCUCACCAGGCUCACCUAAGGGAACCCUCCAGUGUGGCCCUCAGGCCCAAACAAGUCCCUUCUCCCCACCCUCAUAAACCCAGAGUGAAGCCUCUGGCAGGCUGUCCUCCCCCCAGAUAAGGGGGAGAGGUGGGAAGAUCAGGGUGGGGCCACCAGGCCAGAUGUUUUAACUCCAGGGUAAAUGAGGACACUGAGAGACCUGGUGGCAGCUGAUAAGGACUGAAAGGGGGGGUCAAAAGCCCCCAAAUUUGGUAUAAAUAGUGGAGCCAAUGAACAGACACUCAGCCAGCCGACACUGGUGCCCUCAUGCUGAGAGCCUGGUGAGGACCUGUGCUGACAUCCCAGCUCUUCUCAUCGUUUGCUGAUCCUCUGCGUCUUCCUCACGGGUCUCAAACUUUCCAGCCACAUCUUGACCCUGGUGACAGCCGCAACUUCCCCCUAGGACCCUCUCCUCAGCCAGCCAUCAGCUCCACCCCGGGAGAAGCCUGCCUUGGUUCCUGACCUGAUCACGGGGUCUGAGUGAGUGUGCAUCUGCUGGACUAGAGCCUAAGGCUUGAGACUUUAGAUCUGACACUUGAGCUUAGCGGGCAGAGGAAAUGUCUGUCAAGAGUCUGUCAUGAUUAAGAGUGUUUGCAGGGCUUAGAAUUCAUCUAGAAUUGUUUGCUGUGGAUUGAUUAAUCUAGAAUUGUUUGCUGUGGAUUGAUUAUGUCUACUGCAGUGCCUAGCAUUAAGGAUGGUCGUUUCCUUGAUUAAGAACCUAGAGACUGAAAUUGUAUUGAGUGAUUUGAGUGAAUAAAGCAUUGGAAGGGGCAGAAGCACGUGGACAUUCUUUAUUUCUUCCCCUCGACUGCAAAAGUCACACCUCUUGCCAACGUGACCCAUGUCCAUUUUAAAAAUAAGUUCCGUGGUAGAGCAGCAAGGCUGUAUUCAGAGCAUAAAUUGGGCACUGUCUCAGUACUGGGGGUUGAACACGGGGAACACACACACUGAACUCCAUCCCCAGCCUUUUUUAAUUUUUGUUCUGAGAUAGGGUCUCACUAAGUUACUGAGGUUGGCCUCAAACUUGCUGUCCUCCUGCCUCAGCCUCCUGAGUUGCUGGAGUGCAGACGUGCACCACUGCACCUAGAAAGACGUGGCCCUUUGUAGUGGCUUUUUUUCAGUCAACAUAGUGUGCUCCAGUUUAUCCAGGAGGUGGGGUCUAUUAGAACCCCAUUCCUUUUAUGGCUGAAGAGUAACCCAUCGUCUGUACCACACUUGUUUAUCCAUUUGACAAUUGUGGAAGUUGGGUGGCUUCUAUUUUGGGGAUACAUGCUUAAUUCUGUUAUGAACAUUCGUGUCGUUUUUGAGUGGAUGUGUAUUUUCAAAUCUCUCAAGAAUACCCCUAAAAGUGGAAUUGGGCCAUUUGAUGAUUUUGUUUUGCCCCCUUCGGGAACUGCCAAAUGUUUUCUACAGCAACGGUACAAUCUUAUGUUUCCGCCAGGUGUAUUUCCUAACCCCUCUGGACCUAAGCUUCCCGUUGGUGAAGCCUCAUGUAUCGGGUAUCUACCGUAUAGACGGGCCACAAGAUUUAAAUGAGAUCCUAUCAGAAAGGCAGCUAGGGCAGUAGGAGCUCAAUAAAUCAAGUCAGGAUCUGUAACCCUCUGGGCUUGUUCCUUUGGUCUCCUUCCAAUCCAAAUGGGCAGUGCUCUUUAUCCUUCCCUCUUGUUUACCUAGUUCUUGAAUCUCCCUUGAUGGAUUGGAUUAAGCUCACCACAUGUCUCUGGAGAGGGUCUGAGGAGUUCCCAGAGGAAAGGGGAGGUCUCAGAACCAGCAGGGCUCUUGGCAUACAUGAAAAGAAUCUCCGCAGGAGCCAGACAAAGGCCCAGACAGGUUUAUUUAAGGAGUAGAUACAUUCCAGGGAGAAAGCCGGCUGACAGGGGCUGGGGCUCCGAUAUUUAUAGAAGGGCAGGAUCAGGGGCCGGACUGGAGGUGGAUCCAGGGAGGGGCUGCACGAUUUCAUGCCAGUUUUCCUUGUGCAUGUGUUUCCCUCCUGUUACAAGGGCCUGGGUCAAGGGCAUGGGCCAAGGGUGAGGGUCAAGGGCCAAGGUCAAGGUUGACAACUGUGCUUUCUGCAUCCCAAUGGCUGUGGUGUUUCCUUUAAGAGUCAGUAUUUCCCUCUCUUUAUCCUGAAUCCCUGUCUCAGAACACAAUGCCUGCUGCCUAGGCCCAGGUGCACCCACGUGCACACAUACACACACAAUUUAAUAGGGGCCAAACUAAACAGGUGAAAUUCCCCUCACCCCCCAUCCUGCUUGGUACAUUAGAGCUAAAAUCAAAUACUACAGUGAUUCUCCAAGUGUGGAACCCAGACUGGCAGCACCAUCACUGCUAGAAUCACCCAGGAACUGGUUAAAAUAAACCCUCAGUCCCUGUCCCAGAAAAAAAAAAAUUGGAAUCAAGGACUCUGGUAAUGAGCUCCGGCAAAUGCGGGUUUCAACACGCCCUACAGGUGCUUGGAAUGCAAACUAAAGUUCCAAAUUACAGAUGAGAAAACUGAGGCCCAGAGAAAGGAUAUAACUUGCUCAAGGCCAUAAAGAACAAGAGCCAGGGAACUGUGCACAACUGUGUGACCUUGGACAAGGCCCUCCCCUUCCUUUACUUCACUAUCCCCAUCUGUAAAAUGGGGACGGCCGCCUCCGCCUGCCACCACAGCUUUCCCCAUCUGCCCCCACAGCUCUCGAGGCAGCUGAGGGCUGGAGCCUGAGUUUCCUGCUUCCCACUCUGGUUCUCUUACUUCUGGAAGUUGACUCUCUGCACCAUCUAUGAGAAGGUUCUGGAAACUGUCAACAUCCGAAAGGUGGACAGGGAGAGGAGGGUUUUGUUUGAUUCUGAGACCCCCGAAGGAAGAACUCCAUGAGCAGGGGAAGUUUCAGAGGUAGGUCUAUGUAAGGAUGCCAUUCCCAAGAAGAACUGCUCCAAGAGCAUCAGCAGCCCCGAGAUGCAGAGCCAUCUGUCCACGGGGAGAGUCCUGGCAGCAUCGGAGCCUGUCUUUCCCAGGGGGAGAGGAGAGACUGGGAGGAAGCUGGUGUGAUCUCCUGGAGAUCUGCUCCCCUGCCACUCCUCAGGGAGGUGAGAGCUGUUUGUCUUCACAGCUUCUCUGUCCCCUGAGAAGGGCAAGGGCAACCGCCCAUACCUCAGACCACACUAUUGGCUCAGGCAAUAGAAUGUGACCCAAGCCAGGCCAAUCAGAAUAUUUCUCCGCCAGAGCAUCUCACAGCCACAUCCACCCUUGAACUUCCCAAUCUGGUGAGCACCUGGGUUCCUCUUUGCUGAAGACUGUUCGGGGUUUCUCUCUUUGCAACUGACAAAUUCUUACCAACCCCACAUGAAAAUAGGCCUGUCUCCUUCCAGCAUGCCCUUCAAAUAAGAGCAAGAAAAGCAAGAGUCAAAACAAUAGCUUAAAGCCUUAUAAAAUAUAUACUCUCUUGGGGGAAAAGUGCCCAAAGGAUAUUCAGUUUCAACUCAGAGCCUAAUGUUUUGAAAUCCAGUUCCUCCGAGUCUUUUCAAACAUUCAUACUCUCCAGGGCAACUAAACCCUAAACUUGCUCCUUUCUUCUCCAAAAGCCCUAAAAUCUCUUUACAAACCUACUCCCAGUUAGCUGUUACCUUUUCCUCCUCUCCUGCCUGUUCCAAAGUCUGUCACCCUAACAUUGCUGGAUACUUUGUGGCCCAGCCAUAAUUCACACUCUUGUUUUUUUUUUUUUAAUAUUAUUUUAGUUGUAGAGGGACACACCAUAUCUUUGUUUAUUAAUUUAUUUUUUUAUGUGGUAUUGAGGAUCGAACCAGUGCCUCACACAUGCUAGGCAAGCACUCAGCCACUGAGCUAAGUCCCCAGCCCCCAUAAUCCACACUCUUAGCCCUACUUUUUUUUGCUUUUGGGUAUCGAGGAUUGAACUCAGGGGCACUCAACCACUGAGCCACAACCCCAGCCCUAUUUUGUAUUUUAUUUAGAGACAGGGUCUCACUGAGUUGCUUAGCGCCUCGCCAUUGUUGAGGCUGACUUUGAACUCGAAAUCCUCCUGCCUCAGCCUCCCCAGCCCCAGGGAUUACAGGCAGGCGCCACUGCACUUGGAUUUUUUUUGUUCGUUUGGAUUAGUUUAGUUUUGUGGUGCCAAUGAUGAAACCCGGGACCUUGCUGUGAAGACUCUACCACUGAGCUACCCCCAACCAUUGCAUGAUCCUCUCAUUCUCUCUGGAGGCAGGAGAGAGAGCUACUGAAUCCUUACACGGUAAUAUGGUUCUAUUACAGAAAUCAGACAAGAAUCAGCAAACGGCACUUGAGAGUGAGAGAACUCAAACCCCAUUUUAGCAGGUGGGCUCAGAAGAGCUCAGACUCCAAAUUCUGAGUGCUUGUCACCAGUUUCUCACAAAAUUUAUAGGCUAGCUGGUGCCAUAAAAUUUUCCAGUCUACAGGAUAUGUGGUCAUGCAGGGGGUCUCUGGCGGGAAGCAUGUUAACAGAAGUAGAGUGGGAUAAGGAGAAGAACUGGCCUUUGAUAAAUCUCUAGUCUUGGGCCAGAAGCCUCUGCAGGGGUGUUUACACUCCAAAGAAGAGCAGUUAGUUCCCUAGGGGUAGUUACUUACAAUCCAAAAGCCAGGGUGGGUGAUACGAAUCAGGUUUCCUGAAGAAAGGCUGACUGGCAAGGAGAGGGGACUCUCGCUUUCCCAGGCACUAAUUCUCAGGAUUGUGUUCUUACAAUUUAUUGUACACCCAGGCCUGGUUCUCUCGUCCAUUAGAGUUCUAUUUCUCCAAUGACACUCCCCCCCCCCCCAAUAGGAUUCUCCUCCUGAUGGUAGCCCUCAUUGCUCUAAGGCUUAUUUUCUUUUUCCCCCUCUGGUCUCCCCUCUCCCCUCCCUAGCAAGUGUAGGGACACAGUGUUAAUGUUCUCCCCUAGUUAAUUGCCCUCAACACACCCACUAAAGGAAGGAGCUGCCUGCUGAGGAUUGGAAGUGAGUAUCUCCCUUAGAAUCCUAACACACCAUCGGGGUGCCCUGGGGCCCCCUACCAGAGCCCACCUGGAAUGUAACCCUUGAAGAGUUCCUCUAAAGCCCCCAUGUCCCUCCUGAUGGGGAGAGUCACACCUUUGGGACAGGAGUCCCCUGUGUUUCUUCUUUGCUAGCAAAGCAAUAAACCUUCUUUUCCCUUUUUCUCAAAACCCUGUCUUCAUUAUUAAAUUGGCAUUCAAUGGCAUUGGGGACAGGGACCGAGCUUUUGGUUACAAAUUUGCUGAGGAUGGAAGGGAACUUUCUGAGACUGACUGCUGGAAAGUCGGGCGACAGGCGAGCGUGUCUCAUGUCUCGGGUCGAACCAGAGGAGCUAUUCCUGUGAGAGUCAAGGGAGGGACGGAGGGACUCCCCGCAGCUGCUGAAGCCCUCCCACCUUCCUUCCCUGCACUGUAAGGGUCGCUCCAUCUUGGUCUAUUUUGAAAAAAGGGAACCUGAAUGCAGAAUUUAGCCAUUUGGUAAGCUCCCCCAGGGUGAUUGAUUCUACUUUUCUGGUUCCCUAGUGGGAACGUCUGGUCCCCUUAUGGGGACAUCUGUGGUGCCACUGGUAUGCAAGUCACAGUUAAUUGGGAGUUGGGAACUUGGGGGAUUUCCCCCCUAUCUGGUCUGUUUUAAAGGUUCCCCUCUGUUUGGGAUCCUCUCUAGUUUCUGUCUCUAUGCUUUUUGUUUGUGUCUGUUUCUGGCCCUUUAAGACAUGGGCAAGACUGUGUUGAUGGGUCCCAUAGAUUGUUUCUUGGGAAAGAACUUGGCUGAAUGGGCCACCUACAGAUGUAAGUGUGUCUAAGAAAAAAAUGAUAUUUUACUGCAGCAAUGUGGUCUUUGAAUGGUUUUCUGAAUUAUUACACAAUCUUGCAGUUGGGAGUUGGUCUGUCAGAGAUAAAAUAAGUGGAAGAUUCUGUAUGUACAGGCAUGUAUGCCACUACAUAAUAAGGAGUCGAACAGUCAAAAACUAAGUUGGAUGCAAAAAGUUCCUCCCUCUAAUGUGUGAGCAUAGCAGGAUACCCAAGAAAGAUUGAAAAAAAAUCUUUUUUUUUUUCCUUUGAACCCAGUGCUUCUCAGCCUGGCCCCAGGCAGCUGCAAAUCAACCUGCUGAGGGUCAGGAAAAAACUCAGGAAAGCUGCCUGGUCUCUAGAGAAAUGGGCCAAGAGGACCUGGCCUCUACUCUGCUUCCCAGCCACUCUUUGCCCAUAAGGAUAGAACAGGGCUCAGUUUGCCACUUCUGCAGACAAAGGAAAUCCAUGUGCACUGAGGCCUCACUGAUUUUCUUUCUGGGCUCUUAUCUCAUGGGUUCAAAGAAUGAAAUCCACGGAUGAUGGCAAAGACAAAAAAAAUAAAAAAAAAUAAAUUAGCUUUGAAAGAGAGGAAAAAAAGAUAAAACUUCCUGUGAUAUUAGGGGGAAACUGGUAGAAACUUUUCCACUUAAGUAUACUAGUGUGGGGACUCAAAGGAUAAAGCACUGAUAGGGACUCAAAGGAUAAAGCACUGGGCAGACACCAAAAGCAUUGGAACUAACUGUUGGAAUCUGGGCCUCUGCGUUGCCCUGAGUAUUCUCAGGGGUGCUGGACAUGUUUUAUGUUCUCUACUCUCUCACAUUUCUAUUAAGAUAUAAUAAAGUAACUGAAGUUCCCGAAGGAGUGUACAUUUUGUGACUUUUAAGUGGAGAAAGCAGGGUGGUGGCCUUGUUUUGUGUAACUCCAAGUCCGUAUUAUUUCCAUUGUUUUUACUGUUUCUGAAACAGGAGGAAAUUGCCUGCCGCGACUGGACACCUGCCUCCAGGAACCCAGAGACUCUGCCAGGUGCUCUUGGUUAAUGCCUUUGAGACUGACUAAGAAUUGCUCACUGAUACAAGGUAGGGUAACAAGGGAAGUAAGCCAUCUGAAGCUGUCAUUGAAGACAUUUUUUUUUCCCUGCUCAUUUCCAAAUCCCAUGUGCCACCUCAAAUCUGCUUUUUUUUUUUUAAUGCAAUGUUACUGAAUUUAACUGAAUUUCUGCCAAAGUCCCAUUUCACCCAUAGCUUACGUCCAGAUUUCUCUACAACAUCACACGGUCCUAUUUAUUCUAAACAAAGAUGUCUGGAAUAGUUCCAGUGAUGUCUUUCCUGUUUUUCUGUUUGUGUAUGCCACUUUGAUAGAUUUAAGCUUGCCAUCCAUGUUUCUACAAACCUAUCAUCUAUUAACUACUUUUAGAUUCUAGAGAAUCCACCUUUUCAUAGGAUACAUGUUAAAAAAACAAAAAAGGUAAGAUUAAAAACAGGAGGAGGUAGAAGAAGAGGAAGAGAAUUACAAUAAGCAGAUAUACAACCAAGUUCUUGGAAGAAUUAUUGCUGAAAACAUAAUUAUUAUGCAUUAACAGCAAACAGCUAGCACGAGUCAAAGGAAGCUGUAUUCUCUAAGUACUUCAGACAAUGUGGUAUUCAUUUAUCAAUUCUUUUUUUUUUAAUAUUUAUUUUUUAGUCAUAGGUGAACACAAUGUCUUUAUUUUACUUUAUGUGGUGCUGAGGAUCGAACCCAGUGCCUCAUGCAUGCUAGGUGAGCGCUCUCCUCUGAGCCACAACCGCAGCCCUUAUUUAUAAAUUCUUGAUAGCUCUUUGGAUAAAGCAUGUAAAAUAAUUGUACAGCAGUCCAUUAUCUGACUGAAUAAUCCUUUUUAAAUUAUUUUUUUAGUUGUAGAUGACACAAUACCUUUAUUUAUUUAUUUAUUUAUUUAUUUAUUUAUUUUUAUGUGGUGCAAGGGAUCAAAUCCAGUGCCUCGCGCAUGCUGGACAAGUGCUCUACCACUGAGCCACCACCUCAGUCCCCAACUGAAUAUUGUUUAAUUGUAGUUAUAAUAUGUUUGAAAUAAUUUUUCCAAACCCUCAACAUAUUUCCAUUCAAAUAUAUGAUCCACAUUUAAUGUAGCAUUAAAAAGAUUAAAAUGGGUAUAAAAAAAGUGAAUGAGGCCUUUUAGUCCAAAAGGACCCUGAGAAAAGCAAUCAAAACUGUUAUCUUGGACUGGGGCUAUAGCUCAGUGGUAGGUCACUUGCCUCACAAAUGUAAGCCACUGGGUUCGAUCCUUAGCACCACAUAAAAAUAAAUACAUAAAAAAGAUAUUGUGUCCAUUUACAACUUAAAAAAAUUAAAAAAAAAAACUUGUUAUCUUAACCAAGAUUUUGUUUUGGGAGGAAAUAACUUGCGGGCCAGCGGGGAGAUAACCCCUUAAGAGAGAGACAUUAAAGGGGAUUUAUGCUGUCUUCUGGGCAGUUGUCUAAAAUGUGGAUUGAGACAGCUUUGCCAGAUAUCCUACUUUGCCUAUCCUGCCUGAUAAAAAACCCUCACUGAUGAGUCCCAAGUUGUGCAAGGCUUGAGAGCUAUAAAAUAUUAAAGUGUGAUAUCCAUUGCUUUCUUAGGAUUUUUCUUUGUUAGAAAAACAGAUGACUUGCAAUUUUGACCAAACUUGAUUUUUCAUGAAUAACCUGAAUAUGUGUGACUAGAGAUAUGUAUACAGCUCAAACUAAAUAUGUUUGAGCCUUAUCUAAAUGUUAUGUAAAAGUUUAUAAAAUGAAAAUGCAUAUAGGUUUAUACAUUGCAUCUGCCAUAAAAGGGCCACACUGCCAUUUGAGAAACUGGCUUAUCUCUCUCUGCUUUGACUAAGCCUAGUUCUGAUCAUUAACACUGUUCCCUAAAUGUAUAAAAGAUUUAAGGCUCUCCUUGAUUUUUGCUAAUACUGCUAAACUCUGCCAGCCUGUAAUUAUCUGUGGAUUCUGAAUUUUACUAUAAAAAUUAAAUCUAGUUGAUUUAAAGACAUAUGUGUAAUGGUUAUGCUAAAUAUUAGUUCUUUGUAUAUUAAGUAUACUCAUGUUCUUCUGAUAUACAAGUUUUAAAAUAUAAAGCUCAGAAGACACUUUACCAAUCUGGUGUUCUCUAAACUAAAGUUGUCUCUAAUGAUAACUUUAGACUUAUAAAAAUAGCUAAUUUAAUUGGGGAUCUAUGUCAUUUAAUGUUCUAUAACUGGACCUGUUAUCAAUAAGAUGUAUAUAAAAUUUUAUAUUAUGGGGUAGAAAUUUAAAUGUAUUUUUAAAAGAUAACAAGAGCCUGAUCUGUUUAAAGGUGGACAUUGUAAAACAUGAAAACAUUUUGCCACUUUCCCACCAAAAAAGGGUUAAAAGCUCUCUUAGCUUUUCUUUGAUUCAUAUUUCAGAUGUAAUAAUGUAUUGUGUUAUUUGUGAAGAGCCUCAUCUUAUCUGAGAUAAGGCUUUGCCUCCCACCUUACUCCACCUUAGAAUGUCUCCCAAAUAGGCUAGACUUAGCUCCUUUAAAGUUGUGUUCAAAAGAUUGAUUUUUGUUGUAAAGAUUACUGUGAUCUCAAACAGGGGAUAUAGUAUAUAACUAAGUAAAGGUUCAAGAUUAUAAAAGUUAUUUUUCUUGGUUCAUAGCUAUUACACAAACUGAAUGUUUAGGCUCUGUUAAUUUCAUUUUGUAUUUUCCUUGUAAACUUUAUAACUGUUGCCUGUUAGUGUUUUGCAGAGGUACUAUAUCUAAAAGGAGAAAAAAAAAUGUAGGUUAAUUUGAGAGAAUAAGCAAUCACCUACAGAUAAAUAGUGUAUAAUGCUGACUUCCAGUACUAAUACUAACCCCAAUUAAAUGAAAGAGGUAACUAUAAAAUUAUAGAUAUUGAAGUUACAACCUGUUACUCCCUCUUUAAGACUGGUGAAACUGGCUUGCUGGAUGUUUAAAACCAAAAACUUGGAGACCAAGCCAAGAAAGUAAAAGGGCCAAGGAAAAAAGGAGGUAAUAUUUGGCUCUUGCCUUCUAAGGUCAGCCAGCACCCAGAGAAUGACAGGACCCUGUAAGGGCUCUGAAACUCCAGUGAGUCACCUGAUCUGCCAGUCAGGGGGAUCAAGAAGACCCUAAAGAACAGAAUGCCAACAGGUGCACAUUCUGUAAAGAGGAGGGUCAUCGGAGAGGGAAAUGCCUGAUGCUUCCAAGAGAAGCCACAUGUGGUCAUCAAGACCCUGACCUGACCCAUCCUGGCACAUGACACCACUAGUAGCAGAAAGCUCAAGGAGCCAGCAGGCUUCACACAUGUCCCCAAGAGUGGUCUCUGAAGAAUUGCAGUUGAUUCUUAAGAAUAGAUAAAAACAAGGUCAGUUUUGACCAACCUGGUCUUAAACACCUGGCAGGAGAGUACAGCCUGAGCACAGUCCUACAUGGACAUUUAAAAGGAAAAACAAUGUUUUGUUUGUUUGUUCUGCUUUUUUUUUAAUGUAACUUAAGAUGUACACUUAUGUCAGCCUUAUCAAAAUAAGUUAAGCUGCAGGCUAUACGGAAGGGUUCUGUGGGAAGGCUUAAUAUUUAGCCCCACGAAGGACACUGGAGACACAAGUUUGUCCUGCAUUUCAGUAACUGGCUAGAAACUAAUUGUUUUUGUAUUAAUUGUUUACCAAAAAAGAAAAAAAGUAAUGCUUUGUGUCUUGUUUCUUGUUGUCCCAGCAUAAACUUAACCCUAUGUACGCCUUGUCCAGUCACCUGCUACCUGCCACCUUGGAACUCUGGACUGCUAUUAUGCUGAAUGCCCUUAACUGUCACUCCCCCGCCUGACAGAAAAUAAGGACUUGGGGUCACUUCCCCCGAAUUUCGCCCUCUCUCAGCAUGAAGUGGCUUGGAGACGACGUCGCCCACUUUUCCUUAGAAAUGGAAGGUGGAAAUUGACAGUAGGGAAAUGUAACAGGGGUCCCUUCACCUUCCGAAUAUGGCCCUCGUUGCUCUAAGGCUUUUUUUUUUUUUUUAAAGAACAUGUUUUAGGUGGCUGUGGUUGUGGCUCAGUGGUAGAGUGCUUGCGUAGUGUGAGUGAUGCAUUGAGUUCAUUCCUCAGCACUCCAUUAAAAAAAAUAAAUAAAGGUAUUGCAUCCAUCUACAACUAAAAUACUAAAAAAAAGAAGAGGAAGAACAUUUAUUUUGUCUCUCCUCCUCUCUUCCUUCCCUAACAAGAUUAGGGAGACAGUGUUCUCUUUUCCUCUUUUCUUCCCCUAGUUAAUUGCCCUUGAACACACCCACUAUGGGAAGGAGAUGCCUGCUGAGGAUCUGGGAAGUGAGUACCUCCCAAAUUAACAAGUGAAUCCUAACACACCUGGGACACCACCUCCCCACCCCCCCACCCCCAG
RNAcentral lists this long non-coding RNA (13531 nucleotides) under Marmota monax (woodchuck). Lineage: Eukaryota; Metazoa; Chordata; Mammalia; Rodentia; Sciuridae. The record is from RNAcentral.